CACGUACUGUGCGAACGUUAUUCGGAAUCACUGGGCUUAAAGGGUGCGUAGGCGGCGAUUCAAGUCAGAUGUGAAAUGCCUGAGCUCAACUGAGGCAUUGCGUUUGAAACUGAUUUGCUAGAGUAUUUCAGGGGUGUGCGGAACUGCCAGUGGAGCGGUGAAAUGUGUUGAUAUUGGCAGGAACACCGGAGGCGAAAGCGGCACACUGGGGAAUAACUGACGCUGAGGCACGAAAGCCAGGGGGAGCGAACGGGGAUUAGAACCGUACCG
This 270-nucleotide ribosomal RNA is filed under the name uncultured bacterium. RNAcentral describes it as "partial 16S ribosomal RNA". It matches the Rfam family "Bacterial small subunit ribosomal RNA", at positions 524 to 789 of the family's 1533-position model. The record is from RNAcentral.